This 550-nucleotide long non-coding RNA is filed under the name Musa acuminata (dwarf banana). RNAcentral's name for it is "long non-coding RNA (MACU_LNC005338)". The record is from RNAcentral. Lineage: Eukaryota; Viridiplantae; Streptophyta; Magnoliopsida; Zingiberales; Musaceae.
UUUGGUCAUGGCUCCUGCGUACUGCACCAACCUAUCCCAACCUCCUGACUUCCAAGCUCAGUUCUCAUCCAUGGCUGUUUCUGCCAAGCUAGCCAAGGUAUUAGUCUUCAUUCUCCUCAUGCAGAUCCUUGACUCGGCAAAAGCAAGAACACUGGAACUCCACGCACGCGUGGCCGGAGAGCUCCUCGAGGAUAGUCGUGGCGAAGAGACAGCGGAAUGGCAGCAGCCGACUUCACCAGGACACAGCCCCAGUAUCGGCCAUGGCAACCCUCCUGGAGCCCAGCAGCCGACUUAACCGGGACACAGCCCAAGCGUCGGCCAUGGGAGCCAUCCUGAUACCCAGACCUGACGACUCGCAUCUUUCGGUGCUACUGCUCCUAGCUUAGAACGAGCUGCCGGAUGAAUCUUUUUUGCCUAUGUGUUGUGUGGUUUCAUUUCUUAUGUUGUUUUCAUGUACCUGAAGAUGAUACGUGUGAGGUUCCUCGUAUGAUAAUAAAGUUGAUUCUGAGUAACUGCGUCACUGCCAAAGUGGGUGUUUUGUUUCCAUUCU